CCUACGGGUGGCUGCAGUGAGGAAUAUUGGUCAAUGGACGAGAGUCUGAACCAGCCAAGUAGCGUGAAGGAUGACUGCCCUAUGGGUUGUAAACUUCUUUUAUAUGGGAAUAAAAUGUUCCACGUGUGGGAUUUUGUAUGUACCAUAUGAAUAAGGAUCGGCUAACUCCGUGCCAGCAGCCGCGGUAAUACGGAGGAUGCGAGCGUUAUCCGGAUUUGUUGGGUUUAAAGGGAGCGUAGGUGGAUUGUUAAGUCAGUUGUGAAAGUUUGCGGCUCAACCGUAAAAUUGCAGUUGAAACUGGCAGUCUUGAGUCCAGUAGAGGUGGGUGGAAUUCGUGGUGUAGCGGUGAAAUGCUUAGAUAUGACGAAGAAUUCCGAUUGCGAAGGCAGCCCCCUGGACUGAAACUGACACUGAGGCUCGAAAGUGUGGGGAUCAAACAGGAUUAGAUACCCGUGUAGUC
RNAcentral lists this ribosomal RNA (460 nucleotides) under uncultured bacterium. Its description in RNAcentral is "partial 16S ribosomal RNA". It matches the Rfam family "Bacterial small subunit ribosomal RNA", at positions 338 to 795 of the family's 1533-position model. The record is from RNAcentral.